Molecule: long non-coding RNA, 524 nt
Organism: Ostrinia nubilalis (European corn borer)
Lineage: Eukaryota; Metazoa; Arthropoda; Insecta; Lepidoptera; Crambidae
Exons: 2
Source: RefSeq, a predicted model, not a curated record
UCAAAACAAAUGUUUAUCGUCUCAUAUAACCCCAGUUUAUAGGUACAACUUGAUAUUAUAAUUAUGCUCAGUGAUUAAAACACAUUUGAGAACAAAUACUUAGCUCAGAAGACGUAUUUUGUUGUAUAAUUUUACAUUGCUCUGUAAAAAUGUCUAUACAUUAUAAUAUUUUGUGUUCAGUGCUUGUCAUUGCCUUUGUAGUGCUGUGUAAUGCUGAUUAUGAUGCACAUGAGUGCAUUUACGACGAUAGUGGGUUAUGCAUCGAAGAUUGCCCUCCAGGCACAAUUUCAUACACGUCAGGGUGCGGAACAAAAGAAACGAUGUCCCAGCGCACUUGCCGUCGUCCCAUCGCGCGAUCCAUAGGCUUCAUAUGUGACCUGUCCCGGUGCGACUGUCCCGAUCCCAAGGUGUGGGACGAGACUAUUGAGAAAUGCGUUUUCUACAAAGAUUGCUCUUCGAAAAAUUUUUCUGGCAGGAAUCGUUUGUAGAUUAGCAGCACUGGUUAUUAAAGAGUGAUUAGAGAA